GACGAACGCUGGCGGCGUGCUUAACACAUGCAAGUCGAACGGAAAGGCCCUGCUUUUGUGGGGUGCUCGAGUGGCGAACGGGUGAGUAACACGUGAGUAACCUGCCCUUGACUUUGGGAUAACUUCAGGAAACUGGGGCUAAUACCGGAUAGGAGCUCCUGCUGCAUGGUGGGGGUUGGAAAGUUUCGGCGGUUGGGGAUGGACUCGCGGCUUAUCAGCUUGUUGGUGGGGUAGUGGCUUACCAAGGCUUUGACGGGUAGCCGGCCUGAGAGGGUGACCGGCCACAUUGGGACUGAGAUACGGCCCAGACUCCUACGGGAGGCAGCAGUGGGGAAUAUUGCACAAUGGGCGGAAGCCUGAUGCAGCAACGCCGCGUGCGGGAUGACGGCCUUCGGGUUGUAAACCGCUUUCGCCUGUGACGAAGCGUGAGUGACGGUAAUGGGUAAAGAAGCACCGGCUAACUACGUGCCAGCAGCCGCGGUGAUACGUAGGGUGCGAGCGUUGUCCGGAUUUAUUGGGCGUAAAGGGCUCGUAGGUGGUUGAUCGCGUCGGAAGUGUAAUCUUGGGGCUUAACCCUGAGCGUGCUUUCGAUACGGGUUGACUUGAGGAAGGUAGGGGAGAAUGGAAUUCCUGGUGGAGCGGUGGAAUGCGCAGAUAUCAGGAGGAACACCAGUGGCGAAGGCGGUUCUCUGGGCCUUUCCUGACGCUGAGGAGCGAAAGCGUGGGGAGCGAACAGGCUUAGAUACCCUGGUAGUCCACGCUGUAAACGGUGGGUACUAGGUGUGGGGUCCAUUCCACGGGUUCCGUGCCGUAGCUAACGCUUUAAGUACCCCGCCUGGGGAGUACGGCCGCAAGGCUAAAACUCAAAGGAAUUGACGGGGCCCCGCACAAGCGGCGGAGCAUGCGGAUUAAUUCGAUGCAACGCGUAGAACCUUACCUGGGUUUGACAUGGAUCGGGAGCGCUCAGAGAUGGGUGUGCCUCUUUUGGGGUCGGUUCACAGGUGGUGCAUGGCUGUCGUCAGCUCGUGUCGUGAGAUGUUGGGUUAAGUCCCGCAACGAGCGCAACCCUUGUUCACUGUUGCCAGCACGUUAUGGUGGGGACUCAGUGGAGACCGCCGGGGUCAACUCGGAGGAAGGUGGGGAUGACGUCAAGUCAUCAUGCCCCUUAUGUCCAGGGCUUCACGCAUGCUACAAUGGCUGGUACAGAGAGUGGCGAGCCUGUGAGGGUGAGCGAAUCUCGGAAAGCCGGUCUUAGUUCGGAUUGGGGUCUGCAACUCGACCUCAUGAAGUCGGAGUCGCUAGUAAUCGCAGAUCAGCAACGCUGCGGUGAAUACGUUCCCGGG
This 1343-nucleotide ribosomal RNA is filed under the name uncultured bacterium. RNAcentral describes it as "16S ribosomal RNA". It matches the Rfam family "Bacterial small subunit ribosomal RNA", at positions 28 to 1378 of the family's 1533-position model. The record is from RNAcentral.